This is a long non-coding RNA of Amphibalanus amphitrite, 576 nucleotides long. RefSeq lists it as uncharacterized. The record is from RefSeq and is a predicted model, not a curated record. The transcript has 2 exons. Lineage: Eukaryota; Metazoa; Arthropoda; Thecostraca; Balanomorpha; Balanidae.
AUGAUUUCGUUUAGAUCGCUGGCUGACGCUGGCUGAUUCAAAUUAAUUUAUAAUUUAUAUUGUUAUAUAACAUAACUGAGGCCAUUGGUCCCUAAUAAAGCUGAAGGAUGAACAGCAUCGGUGAAAAAUGUCAAGACAUCAAAAAAGAAUACGAUGACUGUUUCAACGCAUGGUUCUCUGAGAAAUUCUUGAAAGGUCAGACCACUGAAGAUCCAAGGUGUCUUGAACUGUUCAAGAAAUAUUCAGAAUGUGCCAAGGAAGCAAUCGAAGAGAAGGGCAUCAAUUUAAAAGACAUCCGAAAAGAUGUUCUUGGCACAAGUGAGGAACCAAAAAUGCGGAAAGGAAAUAGCUGACUUUUAUCGCGUUCGGUCGAUGACUGAUGUGAUGUGUGACGUAACGUGACGUGACGUAUGACGUGACGUGACGGGACGUUGUCUGCUGUGUGACUGACGUGUGGUUACGCUUGUUGUCACCUCCAUUAUUGUAAUACCACACUUGUCAUUUCUUUAUCUGUGUAUAUCGAGUCUCUGAAUAUUUCAUUGUUGCGAAUGGGACCGAAAUAUACAGAAACGAUCA